RNAcentral lists this ribosomal RNA (533 nucleotides) under Trichoderma cf. aureoviride DAOM 175924. RNAcentral describes it as "SSU rRNA". It matches the Rfam family "Bacterial small subunit ribosomal RNA", at positions 342 to 888 of the family's 1533-position model. The record is from RNAcentral. Lineage: Eukaryota; Fungi; Ascomycota; Sordariomycetes; Hypocreales; Hypocreaceae.
CUAACGGCUGAACUGGCAACUUGGAGAAGUGGCAAGUCCUAUUUUGAUCAUAUCUUUGAAUAUGAUCUAUAGGAUUGUAUUAAAAUUGAAUAAAGCUUUGUUUAUAUAUUGAUAAUGACAGUAUAUAUAUCGUGUCUUGACUAAUUGCGUGCCAGCAGUCGCGGUAAUACGUAAGAGACUAGUGUUAUUCAUCUUAAUUAGGUUUAAAGGGUACCUAGACGGUCAAUAUAUCUUCUAUAAUGUUAGUACUUGACUAGAGUUUUAUAUAAGAGGGCAGUACUUGAGGAGGAGAGAUGAAAUUCUAUGAUACCAAAGGGACUCGGUAAAGGCGAAGGCAGCCCUCUAUGUAGAAACUGACGUUAAAGGACGAAGGCACAGAGCACAAACAGGAUUAGAUACCCAAGUAGUCUUUGCAGUAAAUGAUGAAUGCCAUAGGUUAGAUUAAGAUUUAAUAUUAUAAUUACAAAUUAUAAAUUAAACAUUAUUUGGUCUAUAAAUGAAAGUGUAAGCAUUUCACCUCAAGAGUAAUGUGG